GAUGAAGAACGUAAGCAAAAUGCGAUAAGUAAUGUGAAUUGCAGAAUUCAGUGAAUCAUCGAAUCUUUGAACGCACAUUGCGCCCGCUGGUAUUCCGGCGGGCAUGCCUGUUCGAGCGUCAUUUCAACCCUCAAGCCCCCGGGUUUGGUGUUGGGGAUCGGCUCUGCCCUUCUGGGCGGUGCCGCCCCCGAAAUACAUUGGCGGUCUCGCUGCAGCCUCCAUUGCGUAGUAGCUAACACCUCGCAACUGGAACGCGGCGCGGCCAUGCCGUAAAACCCCAACUUCUGAAUGUUGACCUCGGAUCAGGUAGGAAUACCCGCUGAACUUAAGCAUAUCAAUAAGCGGAGGA
This 349-nucleotide unclassified non-coding RNA is filed under the name soil metagenome. Its description in RNAcentral is "partial contains 5.8S ribosomal RNA, internal transcribed spacer 2, and large subunit ribosomal RNA". The stretch from base 1 to 121 matches the Rfam family "5.8S ribosomal RNA", at positions 35 to 154 of the family's 154-position model. The record is from RNAcentral.